Pelobates cultripes (western spadefoot toad) is the source of this 206-nucleotide non-coding RNA. The record is from the annotation of a GenBank genome assembly. NCBI's taxonomy places the organism in Eukaryota, Metazoa, Chordata, Amphibia, Anura, Pelobatidae.
GUGGGAAUGUAGAGAGAUCAAACCCCUAUGGUCACAGGUACAACAACUACUGGGGAAAACAUUGGGUUACAAGGUUGACCUCACACCAAUGGUGGCGAUCCUAUUGCUCUUUCCACCCACAUGGAAAAAAGGAGCCAAGAAACUGGCCUCCACUAUCAUAUUAGCGGCUAGAAACCUCAUUGCUCUACAUUGGCGGAGCACAUAUU